This 474-nucleotide ribosomal RNA is filed under the name uncultured bacterium. RNAcentral describes it as "SSU rRNA". It matches the Rfam family "Bacterial small subunit ribosomal RNA", at positions 26 to 518 of the family's 1533-position model. The record is from RNAcentral.
AGGACGAACGCUGGCGGCGUGCUUAACACAUGCAAGUCGAGCGGAAAGGCCCUUCGGGGUACUCGAGCGGCGAACGGGUGAGUAACACGUGAGUAAUCUGCCCCUAGCUCUGGGAUAGCUCCGGGAAACCGGGAUUAAUACCGGAUACGACCACCUUAGACAUCUUUUGUGGUGGAAAGAAUUUCGGCUAGGGAUGAGCUCGCGGCCUAUCAGCUUGUUGGUGGGGUAACGCCUACCAAGGCGACGACGGGUAGCCGGCCUGAGAGGGCGACCGGCCACACUGGGACUGAGACACGGCCCAGACUCCUACGGGAGGCAGCAGUGGGGAAUAUUGCGCAAUGGGCGAAAGCCUGACGCAGCGACGCCGCGUGGGGGAUGAAGGCCUUCGGGUUGUAAACCCCUUUCAGCAGGGACGAGGCGAAAGUGACGGUACCUGCAGAAGAAGCGCCGGCUAACGUACGUGCCAGCAGCCGC